AAGUCGAGCGGACAGAUAAGGAGCUUGCUCCUUUGACGUUAGCGGCGGACGGGUGAGUAACACGUGGGUAACCUACCUAUAAGACUGGGAUAACUUCGGGAAACCGGAGCUAAUACCGGAUAAUAUUUCGAACCGCAUGGUUCGAUAGUGAAAGAUGGUUUUGCUAUCACUUAUAGAUGGACCCGCGCCGUAUUAGCUAGUUGGUAAGGUAACGGCUUACCAAGGCGACGAUACGUAGCCGACCUGAGAGGGUGAUCGGCCACACUGGAACUGAGACACGGUCCAGACUCCUACGGGAGGCAGCAGUAGGGAAUCUUCCGCAAUGGGCGAAAGCCUGACGGAGCAACGCCGCGUGAGUGAUGAAGGUCUUCGGAUCGUAAAACUCUGUUAUUAGGGAAGAACAUACGUGUAAGUAACUGUGCACGUCUUGACGGUACCUAAUCAGAAAGCCACGGCUAACUACGUGCCAGCAGCCGCGGUAAUACGUAGGUGGCAAGCGUUAUCCGGAAUUAUUGGGCGUAAAGCGCGCGUAGGCGGUUUUUUAAGUCUGAUGUGAAAGCCCACGGCUCACCCGUGGAGGGUCAUUGGAAACUGGAAAACUUGAGUGCAGAAGAGGAAAGUGGAAUUCCAUGUGUAGCGGUGAAAUGCGCAGAGAUAUGGAGGAACACCAGUGGCGAAGGCGACUUUCUGGUCUGUAACUGACGCUGAUGUGCGAAAGCGUGGGGAUCAAACAUGAUUAGAUACCCUGGUAGUCCACGCCGUAAACGAUGA
RNAcentral lists this ribosomal RNA (771 nucleotides) under Staphylococcus haemolyticus. RNAcentral describes it as "bacterial SSU rRNA". It matches the Rfam family "Bacterial small subunit ribosomal RNA", at positions 59 to 812 of the family's 1533-position model. The record is from RNAcentral. Lineage: Bacteria; Bacillati; Bacillota; Bacilli; Caryophanales; Staphylococcaceae.